RNAcentral lists this ribosomal RNA (501 nucleotides) under uncultured bacterium. RNAcentral describes it as "bacterial SSU rRNA". It matches the Rfam family "Bacterial small subunit ribosomal RNA", at positions 25 to 518 of the family's 1533-position model. The record is from RNAcentral.
CAGGAUGAACGCUAGCGACAGGCUUAACACAUGCAAGUCGAGGGGCAGCAUAAAAGUAGCAAUACUUUGGUGGCGACCGGCGCACGGGUGAGUAACGCGUAUGCAACCUACCUAUCAGAGGGGAAUAACCCGGCGAAAGUCGGACUAAUACCGCAUAAAACAGGGACACCGCAUGGUGAUAUUUGUUAAAGAAAUUCGCUGAUAGAUGGGCAUGCGUUCCAUUAGGUAGUUGGUGAGGUAACGGCUCACCAAGCCGACGAUGGAUAGGGGAACUGAGAGGUUGGUCCCCCACACUGGUACUGAGACACGGACCAGACUCCUACGGGAGGCAGCAGUGAGGAAUAUUGGUCAAUGGGCGAGAGCCUGAACCAGCCAAGUCGCGUGAAGGAAGAAGGAUCUAUGGUUCGUAAACUUCUUUUGCAGGGGAAUAAAGUGCAGGACGUGUCCUGUUUUGUAUGUACCCUGAGAAUAAGGAUCGGCUAACUCCGUGCCAGCCGCCGC